UAAGCCGUUGAAGGUGUGUUGUAAAGCAUGCUGGAGGUAUCAGAAGUGCGAAUGCUGACAUGAGUAACGACAAGGGGGGUGAAAAACCUCCCCGCCGGAAGACCAAGGGUUCCUGUCCAACGUUAAUCGGGGCAGGGUAAGUCGACCCCUAAGGCGAGGCUGAAAAGCGUAGUCGAUGGGAAACGGGUUAAUAUUCCCGUACUUCUUACAAUUGCGAUGGGGGGACGGAGAAGGCUAGGUGGGCCUGGCGACGGUUGUCCAGGUUCAAGUGCGUAGGCUGAGUGUUUAGGUAAAUCCGGAUACUCUUAAGGCUGAGACACGACGUCGAGCUACUACGGUAGUGAAGUCAUUGAUGCCAUGCUUCCAGGAAAAGCCUCUAAGCUUCAGAUUGUAAGGAAUCGUACCCCAAACCGACACAGGUGGUCGGGUAGAGAAUACCAAGGCGCUUGAGAGAACUCGGGUGAAGGAACUAGGCAAAAUGGUACCGUAACUUCGGGAGAAGGUACGCUCUUGAUGGUGAAGUCCCUUGCGGAUGGAGCUGACGAGAGUCGCAGAUACCAGGUGGCUGCAACUGUUUAUUAAAAACACAGCACUGUGCAAAAUCGUAAGAUGACGUAUACGGUGUGACGCCUGCCCGGUGCCGGAAGGUUAAUUGAUGGGGUUAGCGUAAGCGAAGCUCUUGAUCGAAGCCCCGGUAAACGGCGGCCGUAACUAUAACGGUCCUAAGGUAGCGAAAUUCCUUGUCGGGUAAGUUCCGACCUGCACGAAUGGCGUAAUGAUGGCCACGCUGUCUCCACCCGAGACUCAGUGAAAUUGAAAUCGCUGUGAAGAUGCAGUGUACCCGCGGCUAGACGGAAAGACCCCGUGAACCUUUACUACAGCUUGGCACUGAACAUUGAACCUACAUGUGUAGGAUAGGUGGGAGGCUUUGAAGACGUGACGCCAGUUGCGUUGGAGCCGUCCUUGAAAUACCACCCUUGUAUGUUUGAUGUUCUAACGUUGGCCCCUAAUCGGGGUUGCGGACAGUGCCUGGUGGGUAGUUUGACUGGGGCGGUCUCCUCCCAAAGAGUAACGGAGGAGCACGAAGGUGGGCUAAUCACGGUUGGACAUCGUGAGGUUAGUGCAAUGGCAUAAGCCCGCUUAACUGCGAGAAUGACGGUUCGAGCAGGUGCGAAAGCAGGUCAUAGUGAUCCGGUGGUUCUGAAUGGAAGGGCCAUCGCUCAACGGAUAAAAGGUACUCCGGGGAUAACAGGCUGAUACCGCCCAAGAGUUCAUAUCGACGGCGGUGUUUGGCACCUCGAUGUCGGCUCAUCACAUCCUGGGGCUGAAGUCGGUCCCAAGGGUAUGGCUGUUCGCCAUUUAAAGUGGUACGCGAGCUGGGUUUAGAACGUCGUGAGACAGUUCGGUCCCUAUCUGCCGUGGGCGUUGGAAGAUUGAAGGGGGCUGCUCCUAGUACGAGAGGACCGGAGUGGACGAACCUCUGGUGUUCGGGUUGUGUCGCCAGACGCAUUGCCCGGUAGCUAAGUUCGGAAUCGAUAACCGCUGAAAGCAUCUAAGCGGGAAGCGAGCCCUGAGAUGAGUCUU
Molecule: ribosomal RNA, 1584 nt
Filed under: Vibrio vulnificus
Lineage: Bacteria; Pseudomonadati; Pseudomonadota; Gammaproteobacteria; Vibrionales; Vibrionaceae
Description: partial 23S ribosomal RNA
Rfam family: Bacterial large subunit ribosomal RNA
Source: RNAcentral